This 512-nucleotide long non-coding RNA is filed under the name Sus scrofa (pig). RNAcentral describes it as "lncRNA (ENSSSCG00035079693.1)". Lineage: Eukaryota; Metazoa; Chordata; Mammalia; Artiodactyla; Suidae. The record is from RNAcentral.
AGAUAAGAUCAGCUUGAUUCCCAGACAAUACAAUCUCCCUGAAUUGGAGCAACCCUCCAGCAAGCUGGGAGGAAGGGAAGAGCUGGGGGAUUCUGGGGUCUGCAGGGUGUGAGUCGCUAAGAGAACUGUAUGUAGAGGCCCCAGGCCCCAGGCCAACAUGGAGAGCAUCCUGCCAGGCCUGGUGCUCGGUGCUCUGCGUGCUCCAUCGCACUGGACCACCCUCUGCAGCCCUGUGAGGACUCGGAGAGUGCCAGGGUGUGUGACCAGCGUGGAACUGAUUCCAUAAAUGCUAAGACUACACCUGGCACAAUGCUGGCUGCCUGGCAGGCACCCUGUAAAUUAAAGUGCUACCAGCCAGAACAACCUCAGCCUAUGAGCUAAGCAAGUCUGUACGCCUCCCAUACAAAUGAGAUCACUGAGGCCGAGAGGGGUUAAGCUGCUUGCUUGAAGCAGGAAAUAUCUGGUAAGUGAUAUCUAAUAAAUAGGGGUUUGGGGGGAGAGGGGUUGGGGUA